Molecule: ribosomal RNA, 459 nt
Filed under: uncultured bacterium
Lineage: Bacteria
Description: partial 16S ribosomal RNA
Rfam family: Bacterial small subunit ribosomal RNA
Source: RNAcentral
CCUACGGGAGGCAGCAGUGAGGAAUAUUGGUCAAUGGGCGAGAGCCUGAACCAGCCAAGUCGCGUGAGGGAGUACUGCCCUAUGGGUUGUAAACCUCUUUUGUCGGGGAGCAAAAGCCGGCCGUGUCCGGCUGUUAGAGUACCCGCAGAAGCAGCCCCGGCUAACUACGUGCCAGCAGCCGCGGUAAUACGUAGGGGGCAAGCGUUAUCCGGAUUUACUGGGUGGAAAGGGGGCGCAGACGGCGAUGCAAGCCAGGAGUGAAAGCCCGGGGCCCAACCCCGGGACUGCUCUUGGAACUGCGUGGCUAGAGUGCAGGAGGGGCAGGCGGAAUUCCUGGUGUAGCGGUGAAAUGCGUAGAUAUCAGGAGGAACACCGGUGGCGAAGGCGGCCUGCUGGACUGCAACUGACGUUGAGGCCCGAAAGCGUGGGGAGCAAACAGGAUUAGAUACCCGAGUAGUC